CAAACACAGCUCUCACACGUCUCAGUAAUUCCUUUCACUUCACGCUUUUGCGAGGGACUGUUGGGUUUUCUUUGCUGACGUUUGAGCAAACACACGUGCACCACGGGAGAAACAGCAAACRUCUGGCAGCUCGGAAAUGACCAAACUACUCAAAGAGGCAUGAUGCGCAGGCAACCUUACUAAUAAAUCCUUAUUCAGGAAAUAUUUGAAUCCUUUCAGGAAAGAAUAGUGUUCAGACAAAUUCAGUGUUGAUUGUACAUUAUUUGAUAUUUUCUAGCAAUCUUCCGGGACAGACAAGACGUUUGAUUGACAAACUGAGGCAUUAUGAGGGUCUGAAUUUCGAUGACGAUUGGAAGCUUCUGACUAUUCUCAUAGGCAUGAAUGACAUUUGUGAUUACUGCAAAGAUAAGGCUUUUUAUUCAGUGGACAACUACAUUCACUACAUAAACGUCUCUUUGGAAAUGCUCAUGAAUGAGGUUCCCCGGAUGAUCGUCAACAUGGUUCAUAUUUUGCCCAUGCAUACUUUGAG
This is a long non-coding RNA of Austrofundulus limnaeus, 529 nucleotides long. RefSeq lists it as uncharacterized. The transcript is spliced from 4 exons. NCBI's taxonomy places the organism in Eukaryota, Metazoa, Chordata, Actinopteri, Cyprinodontiformes, Rivulidae. The record is from RefSeq and is a predicted model, not a curated record.